GAAUCCAUAUCAUAAGGUGUGACAUAAUUUUUACGUUAGUUAACACCUACCGCAACCAUUUUCCUUUAUCCGGACUUGAAACCGACUAAACACAAAUUAUUUAGACAGAGUUAUAUUUUUAACUAUUACAUUCUUAAUUAUAUUAUAUAUUUUUUCAUUAAUUUUUUUAUCAAUUUAAUUUAUAAAUUUUGAGCUGGGAAGUUUAGAAUAGGC
Molecule: unclassified non-coding RNA, 213 nt
Filed under: Hevea brasiliensis (rubber tree)
Lineage: Eukaryota; Viridiplantae; Streptophyta; Magnoliopsida; Malpighiales; Euphorbiaceae
Source: RNAcentral